RNAcentral lists this ribosomal RNA (242 nucleotides) under uncultured microorganism. RNAcentral's name for it is "partial 16S ribosomal RNA". It matches the Rfam family "Archaeal small subunit ribosomal RNA", at positions 330 to 576 of the family's 1478-position model. The record is from RNAcentral.
GCGCAGCAGGCGCGAAACUUUACAAUGUGCGAAAGCACGAUAAGGGAACUCUGAGUGCCUCCUAAGGAGGCUGUUCAGGUGUCUAAAAAGCACCUGAAGGGAAGGGCUGGGUAAGACCGGUGCCAGCCGCCGCGGUAACACCGGCAGCCCAAGUGGUAGCCACGUUUAUUGGGUCUAAAGCCGUCCGUAGCCGGCUGGGUAAGUUCCUUGGGAAAUUUGGCUGCUUAACAGUCAAGCUUUCA